UGUGCUGAUCUGAAAACNGGAACUUGCCAC
Molecule: non-coding RNA, 30 nt
Filed under: Rattus norvegicus (Norway rat)
Lineage: Eukaryota; Metazoa; Chordata; Mammalia; Rodentia; Muridae
Source: RNAcentral